Molecule: ribosomal RNA, 301 nt
Filed under: uncultured bacterium
Lineage: Bacteria
Description: partial 16S ribosomal RNA
Rfam family: Bacterial small subunit ribosomal RNA
Source: RNAcentral
CAGCAGCCGCGGGAAUACGGAGGGAGCUAGCGUUAUUCGGAAUUACUGGGCGUAAAGCGCACGUAGGCGGCUUUGUAAGUUAGAGGUGAAAGCCUGGAGCUCAACUCCAGAAUUGCCUUUAAGACUGCAUCGCUUGAAUCCAGGAGAGGUGAGUGGAAUUCCGAGUGUAGAGGUGAAAUUCGUAGAUAUUCGGAAGAACACCAGUGGCGAAGGCGGCUCACUGGACUGGUAUUGACGCUGAGGUGCGAAAGCGUGGGGAGCAAACAGGAUUAGAUACCCGCGUAGUCCCUGUCUCUUAUAC